CCUACGGGGGGCAGCAGUGGGGAAUAUUGCGCAAUGGGCGAAAGCCUGACGCAGCGACGCCGCGUGAGGGAUGAAGGUCUUCGGAUCGUAAACCUCUGUCAGCAGGGAAGAACGGUCACUGUGCUAAUCAGCAGUGAAUUGACGGUACCUGCAAAGGAAGCACCGGCUAACUCCGUGCCAGCAGCCGCGGUAAUACGGAGGGUGCGAGCGUUAAUCGGAAUUACUGGGCGUAAAGCGCUCGUAGGCGGUAUGUCAAGUCAAGGGUGAAAGCCCCGCGCUCAACGUGGGAACCGCCUUUGAAACUGGCAAACUGGAGUGUGUGAGAGGAUAGUGGAAUUCCAGGUGUAGGAGUGAAAUCCGUAGAUAUCUGGAGGAACAUCAGUGGCGAAGGCGACUAUCUGGCACAUAACUGACGCUGAGGAGCGAAAGCGUGGGUAGCAAACAGGAUUAGAUACCCGAGUAGUC
Molecule: ribosomal RNA, 465 nt
Filed under: uncultured bacterium
Lineage: Bacteria
Description: partial 16S ribosomal RNA
Rfam family: Bacterial small subunit ribosomal RNA
Source: RNAcentral